RNAcentral lists this ribosomal RNA (200 nucleotides) under Escherichia coli. RNAcentral describes it as "partial 16S ribosomal RNA". It matches the Rfam family "Bacterial small subunit ribosomal RNA", at positions 1050 to 1250 of the family's 1533-position model. The record is from RNAcentral. Lineage: Bacteria; Pseudomonadati; Pseudomonadota; Gammaproteobacteria; Enterobacterales; Enterobacteriaceae. RNAcentral also lists the same sequence under 1 other name.
UGUCGUCAGCUCGUGUUGUGAAAUGUUGGGUUAAGUCCCGCAACGAGCGCAACCCUUAUCCUUUGUUGCCAGCGGUCCGGCCGGGAACUCAAAGGAGACUGCCAGUGAUAAACUGGAGGAAGGUGGGGAUGACGUCAAGUCAUCAUGGCCCUUACGACCAGGGCUACACACGUGCUACAAUGGCGCAUACAAAGAGAAGC